AGGACACGGCUGGCGGCGUGCUUAACACAUGCAAGUCGAACGAUGACGAUGGUGCUUGCACCGUCUGAUUAGUGGCGAACGGGUGAGUAACACGUGAGUAACCUGCCCUCCUCUUCGGGAUAACCGCCGGAAACGGUGGCUAAUACCGGAUAUGGAUGCCUGCCGCAUGGUGGGUGUUGGAAAGAUUUAUCGGUGGGGGAUGGACUCGCGGCCUAUCAGUUUGUUGGUGAGGGUAAUGGGCUCACCAAGGCGAUGACGGGUAGCCGGCCUGAGAGGGCGACCGGCCACACUGGGACUGAGACACGGCCCAGACUCCUACGGGAGGCAGCAGUGGGGAAUAUUGCACAAUGGGCGAAAGCCUGAUGCAGCGACGCCGCGUGGGGGAUGACGGCCUUCGGGUUGUAAACCUCUUUCAGCAGGGAAGAAGCGAGAGUGACGGUACCUGCAGAAGAAGCGCCGGCUAACUACGUGCCAGCCGCCGC
Molecule: ribosomal RNA, 482 nt
Filed under: uncultured bacterium
Lineage: Bacteria
Description: bacterial SSU rRNA
Rfam family: Bacterial small subunit ribosomal RNA
Source: RNAcentral